CCCAGAUGUACAACUCAUCAAGAAUGUGAAGAGGAAGGGGAAACACUAUAAACACAUUUAUAACAUGUCAAAAAAUAUUUAAAAGCAUUUAAAAUAAUCAUAUUUAUAUAUUAGAUGAAAUGAGGGCUUAAAGCCAAAGCCUUAACUGCACAAUUAAACAAUGAAUAACAAAAAAUAUUUAAUUGUUGAUGAAAUGACCAGUCACCAUUUUUUAUACCAGUAUGUUAUUCAUUAUUUAUUUCUUUAUGUUGCAGAUUCCUUAAAGAAGCCAACAUGUGAGAUAAAUGGUUGAAGCAAUGAAAAGAGGGAAAGGAUGGACCCCUGAUGUGUAUGACUUUGUGAACAGCACACAUUUUAUUGAUGCAAACUUUAUGAUAUAAUGAAAAAUCUGAAACCCUCAGCUAUUCCUACAAUAUUUCAGUGUCAUAACGAUGCAGCUUCCUGGCCAGUUAAAAAGAAGAAAAAAUAAAGUCUUAAGGUGAAAGAAGAAAUUGUACAAUUCAAAGAGACUUCUGAUAUAUUAUAAAAAGAAAGUUCAAUGUUUACAAGAGGAGUUAUAGAAAAGCCACCUCACCUUAAACAGUUAUGAUGAUUUAUCUUUACAUCUGUUUGAGGAGCCUACAGGAAAUGCAAAUUAUACAGAUGAAAAAAUAUCCUUCACAAUAACAUUGCACUUUUA
Molecule: long non-coding RNA, 679 nt
Organism: Biomphalaria glabrata
Lineage: Eukaryota; Metazoa; Mollusca; Gastropoda; Planorbidae
Exons: 3
Source: RefSeq, a predicted model, not a curated record